Long non-coding RNA from Passer domesticus (house sparrow), 2167 nucleotides. RefSeq lists it as uncharacterized. Lineage: Eukaryota; Metazoa; Chordata; Aves; Passeriformes; Passeridae. The record is from RefSeq and is a predicted model, not a curated record. The transcript is spliced from 3 exons.
UGGGAGUUCAUGAGGUUGAUGGGAACUCAUGAGGCUGAUAGGAGCUCAUGAGGUUGAUGGGAGCUCAUGAGGUUGAUGGGAACUCAUGAGGUUCAUGGGAGCUCAUGAGGUUGAUGGGAACUCAUGAAGUUCAUGGGAGCUCAGGAGGUUCAUGGGAGCUCCGCCAUCCCUUCCACUGGGCCAGGAUGUCGCUGUGGGUGACCAGGAAUUCAGGAGAGACUCUGCGUACACACUGAGCCUCCCCUCCUGCUGCUGCUCCCUCCUGACACUGCAGAGCUGAGGUGGAUUGCUGUGUGCUCUGAGGAAAGCUGAUCGAGGGGGGCUCUGUGAUACCUUCCAUGGGGGAGGUUCUCCACUGAGAUUUAUGGCUUUGCUCUAACACAGAGCAUGUUUACCUCUUGCAGACAAAGUUUUUCCUUUCAACCUAAAAGGGUUGACUGCUGAGGGAUCUAGGUUACUCAUUGCAGGAUUUUUAUGGCAGUUUAAGGUGGAUAUGAUGACCUAAAUUAAAUACAGUCAAAAAAGAGGCAGAAUGAAAUUCUCUGUUCAGUCAUUUUCUGUGGAAGCCUGGUGACACUGCUAACUCCAUGAAUACAAGGAAUAUGAAAGAGAAACAAGACAGAGCUAUUCUGGAAACUGUUGAAGGCAAAAAGAUAAAAUCUGAAUCAAUAUAUACAUUAAAACAAACAAACAAAAAACCUUCUAAAACAAAACCCCAAAGCCCCUUCCUGACCUAAAACCCAAAGCAGAUUAAAAUCCUACCCUGUACUCACAUACUGUACAAAUUAGUACUGAAAAUUGAAAAUAUAACAAAUAAUUUCUUCGAACAAGAAUUAAACCAAACUUCAGUGGCACAGAAAUGGAACUGUCUGCAUUCCUGCAAUGUGAUGAAUUCCACACUGAACUCCUCUUCACACAGGAAGCUUUCAUCAGAACCUGGAAAUUCCAGCUUUGUUCACAGGGACUGGGAUCCACAUGCAGGGGAAUAAACGUGGUAUAAAUCUGGGGAGGAAACCAAAGGCAGCAUUUAUGCUCAAGCUCCAGCCCUUCAUCCUUCAGCACAAGAACCUCACAAAACAAGAGUGUUGACAGCUGAGAGACAAAGUCUUCUGUCAGCACAAGUACAGCUCAGGUCACAGCUACCCACAGAGCACAGAGGACUGAGAAAGUGGGGUAAUUAAUGAAUGAAUAUAUUGGCAAUUUGUUUUCAAGGGUUUUUUAAAUCAGGAGGAUAAUAAUGUACAUGUUAAACAUACUGCUGAUAAACCCUUAAAUGUGUGAAUUCCACAGCCAGCAUGUGACUUCAAAAGCCAAACAACAACUUGUUGUGUAUCAAUAUAAUUUAUGAUGAUGUUCAGGAUUUCUUGGCUGUAUUUAAUUAGUAGAUUAAAAAUUUCCAUAAUAAGCUAUUUUUGAGAAUUUUUCCACAUUGUCAAGCUGUUGUUCCACUGAAGUAGAUCAAAUAUGAGCUUGAUACAUGGGUAGUGCUAGUUUUAGGAAGUUUUAGUGCAGUUAAGUUAAAAUAUAUGAAAUAAUUUAUUUCAUAUAUUUUAACUUCAUUAGUAAGCCUUCAUUUACUAUCAGACAAUAAAAUAAAUCAUUAAAUAUGAAGAAAAGAACAAACCAAACAAGGUCUGUGGAGCUGUGUGCAUUUUUCAAUAUGUGUGCAUUUUUCUCUUUCAAUGUGAAAUCUUCACAAUUAAACCCAAGAUAAGCAGCUUCAGUCUUCAAAAUGGCAAUACAGAUGAAAAAGAUUAUAUCAAAUGACAAACCAGUGUCCUUCAUUUCCCUGCAUUUUAUAUGGCAAUCUGUCUUUUUUGAACUCAGGCCUAUUCUAAAAUAUUUCACAUCUCGUUUUUUAAUUCUGACUUUCAUAUCUCUGAUAUCAGGAAGAGGAGAGAUGUCUUGGCACUCCAGAAAGUUCUCCUAAGGACUGAAAAUGAUGGGGGGGCAUGUUCUCUGGCUUUCUUGACUGAUAUAUCAGUAGCAUUUUAAAUAAUAAAUUUUUAACCUCUUAGAGGACAAAGAAUGUCUUGUAGAAGGUGUCCACCAUACUGCCUUUUUUAUUGUUGUUAAGAAAAAGCUUUUCCAAAGAAUUAAUCUAAUAUUGACCACAGAAAAAAAUUCCAACAACCCAUUUAAAAAUUAAUAUUGUUAAAAAAAACUU